Molecule: non-coding RNA, 228 nt
Organism: Sturnus vulgaris (Common starling)
Lineage: Eukaryota; Metazoa; Chordata; Aves; Passeriformes; Sturnidae
Source: RefSeq, a predicted model, not a curated record
GCCGGAGGAGCAGCGGGCGGUGGUGCAGCUCUUCACCACGUCUGGCCUUGACCUUCUCAGCAGCAGAGCAGGAUCUCAAAGCCCUUCACCACAAGAUACCUGCACCUUUCAGUGUGGCAGCCUUGAUGUAAAUAGGUAGACACGUACACACUUCACUUGAAUCAGUGGAGCAGCUCCUGGUAGGAAAACCAAGACCGCGGCCGGGCGGGGCGCGGGCGGAGCGCAGCG